This 253-nucleotide ribosomal RNA is filed under the name uncultured prokaryote. Its description in RNAcentral is "partial 16S ribosomal RNA". It matches the Rfam family "Bacterial small subunit ribosomal RNA", at positions 524 to 776 of the family's 1533-position model. The record is from RNAcentral.
UACAGAGGUCCCAAGCGUUGUUCGGAAUUACUGGGCGUAAAGCGCACGUAGGUGGCUUGAUAAGUUGGGUGUGAAAUCCCCGGGCUUAACCUGGGAAUUGCAUUCAAGACUGUCUUGCUAGAGUGUGGAAGAGGGAAGCGGAAUUCCAGGUGUAGCGGUGAAAUGCGUAGAUAUCUGGAGGAACAUCAGUGGCGAAGGCGGCUUCCUGGUCCAACACUGACACUGAGGUGCGAAAGCGUGGGGAGCAAACAGG